UCACACUAUCAUUAACUGAAUCCAUAGGUUAAUGAGGCGAACCGGGGGAACUGAAACAUCUAAGUACCCCGAGGAAAAGAAAUCAACCGAGAUUCCCCCAGUAGCGGCGAGCGAACGGGGAGGAGCCCAGAGCCUGAAUCAGCAUGUGUGUUAGUGGAAGCGUCUGGAAAGGCGCGCGAUACAGGGUGACAGCCCCGUACACAAAAGCGCAUGUGUUGUGAGCUCGAUGAGUAGGGCGGGACACGUGGUAUCCUGUCUGAAUAUGGGGGGACCAUCCUCCAAGGCUAAAUACUCCUGACUGACCGAUAGUGAACCAGUACCGUGAGGGAAAGGCGAAAAGAACCCCGGCGAGGGGAGUGAAAAAGAACCUGAAACCGUGUACGUACAAGCAGUGGGAGCACCCUUUGGGGUGUGACUGCGUACCUUUUGUAUAAUGGGUCAGCGACUUAUAUUCUGUAGCAAGGUUAACCGAAUAGGGGAGCCGGAGGGAAACCGAGUCUUAAUUGGGCGUUAAGUUGCAGGGUAUAGACCCGAAACCCGGUGAUCUAGCCAUGGGCAGGUUGAAGGUUGGGUAACACUAACUGGAGGACCGAACCGACUAAUGUUGAAAAAUUAGCGGAUGACCUGUGGCUGGGGGUGAAAGGCCAAUCAAACCGGGAGAUAGCUGGUUCUCCCCGAAAGCUAUUUAGGUAGCGCCUCGUGAAUUCAUCUCCGGGGGUAGAGCACUGUUUCGGCUAGGGGGCCAUCCCGGCUUACCAACCCGAUGCAAACUGCGAAUACCGGAGAAUGUUAUCACGGGAGACACACGGCGGGUGCUAACGUCCGUCGUGAAGAGGGAAACAACCCAGACCGCCAGCUAAGGUCCCAAAGUCAUGGUUAAGUGGGAAACGAUGUGGGAAGGCCCAGACAGCCAGGAUGUUGGCUUAGAAGCAGCCAUCAUUUAAAGAAAGCGUAAUAGCUCACUGGUCGAGUCGGCCUGCGCG
Molecule: ribosomal RNA, 983 nt
Filed under: Salmonella enterica
Lineage: Bacteria; Pseudomonadati; Pseudomonadota; Gammaproteobacteria; Enterobacterales; Enterobacteriaceae
Description: partial 23S ribosomal RNA
Rfam family: Bacterial large subunit ribosomal RNA
Source: RNAcentral